UGCCCCGGCCCAGCAGGGCAGCGGGGCCGGUGCCCCCCGGCUGCCCCCCGGGUGUCCGCGGGUGCCCACCCGGGCUCCCAGCGCCCCCGAACCCGCCGGCCGCCCGAGCCUGGCCCAGGCCGGGGAGCGCUGCCCAAGAGGUGACUUGUCCUCGGAAGGGGAAGCGUUCCCCAAAAUAACCCAGGGAGCCGCGAGACGAGGCGCUGCUGCGGGGCGCGCGGGGCGUGAGCGGCCCUGGGGAAGCCGCCGGGGCCGCAGAGCCCGCCGCAGCCUCAGCCGCCCCGCGCUGCUGCUCCGCUCGCAGGGCGGCCCCGGGACGGCUCGUUUCCCGUCUCCCUGCUCCACGUCCUGCACACACCCCUCGCAGAUGGCGUUUGGAGGAACGCCGUUCCUCCCCAGCACAGCCACGAGCCUCUGGAAGCUGCGACUGCUCAGUCAGGAUGCCUGAACGCUUGCUAACUAACAGGCGCUUGUGCUCGGGCUCUGGGCACCAUUCCUACCACAGGAGAGGCAGGGAGCAGGGAUCAGAGCUGGGGAGAGGAGGGGCUGCUGGAGCUGCUGCCAACAGAAACGUCUCUGGGACGGCAGCCAAGCAAUCAGCACACCAUAAGACCUCUUACAACUAAUACUCUGUACAACAGCCACACCUGCUGCCUACAAGUUACAUGUUCUCAGGAAGCUGAAGGAGAACUCAACAUACAAAAAUCUGUGUCAGAGUUCAAGCAAAAACAUGAUAUUACUUGGCAAGAGGAAUGUGUAUCUAACAUGUCAAAUUACAGCUCCUGACUAGAACGGGAUCGUUUUGGCGAGAGCCCCUUGUGACUGUUCCCAACCACAUGCCUCUUCCUAGGAGAUGAUAAGAAGCGAGAUGGAAGCCUUGAUGUCCCUGUUGAAGCUUCAUCCUGACGUCAGGAAGGCUUUGCCAUCUGACUGAAGGCGUAUCAGAGAAGAGCCUUCAGGAAUGUUAUCUGGGCUGCUCUCCCCAUGUUUUUCAAAUGCUGGUCCACUCUCAGUCAAUGAUGGCUUUUCUUGCCCAGUUCCUUAUGGAGACAAACUGAUCUUGGUGAGGAGGCACAGGACAGAGGGACAGCUGAGUGGAGACUGGUGCUCUGAAGGAGCUAAGAUGGACAUUGCCACCCAUCCAGGGCUGCUGAGGGGUCUGGUAGGUACAGAGUGGCUGGGAGCAGGCGUCUGGGCUGUGGUGGGUAGGUCUUCUGUUCUCAGCUGUUUGUGGUCCUUGUGUGCUUCAAGAUGGAAAUCUGGGUAGGUGGGUAAUUCCCUCGCUGAGUCUGUGUUCCCUGCUUGCCAUGCUGUCAUCUAAGGAAUGAUGUGAGGAGUCCAGAACUCCUGGCAGAGAUGGAGCUUCAGGUUGCACAAAUAAAGCCUGAAGGACAGCACGGGAUCUCAGAUCUAGCAGGCUGGGUGGCACUGAAGUGAAACGGAAAGCUGAGCCUAGCUCUGGGUCCCCAGAUGUAGAAACAGCAGCAAAAUUCAACUUUCCUGGUGGCUAAUGAGUGGGUGAAUGUCCAGCCCUGAGCUACAAUGGGGCUUGGAAAUCCCUCAGAAUAUUUACAUACAGGGUCGGGUUUGCUUAAGAUGAAAUAUUGCAUAGCUGCUGAUUUUCUUCCUAAUCCUGACCACAGGGAACACUUCCAAGACCCAAAUCUCUGUCUACUCACUGAUCUCAACCCCCCCCACCUUUUUCUGAUGGGUGCCACACGAAGCUUUACAUCUGAGUCUCUUUACAAACUGCAGAAAAAGCUUUUCUUACAAAGAUAAAGUGUUCCCCACCAUCUGUGCACUAGAAAGGACACAAAACACCCUUUUCCUGUUCUAGGAGGACACUUUCCAUGUUGUCAGUAUUUGUAAGAGAGCAGAACUAUGAAAUGACCUAGGAAAGCAGUUAGGAGGCCUGAGAAGUGAGCAGUGGUUUGGAUGCUUUUAAUUGUCUUCCCUGCAGAGCAGCAACCAACCUACACAUUAUUUCCCUGCUGCUGUCAUGCUGCCUGCUACACUGUAAAUAAAGUAGGUAGGUGCAAUCAAGAGUUCCAAAGAUGGUAUCUCGUGGUAGGUGACCCUGAUUUAAUCAGCUUUUUGUCCACUACUAUACUUUGUGUUUUGCAAACGGGGUCGGAGUCCACUCUUGUGCUGGUAUCAACAACAGUGCUACUAAUAUUAAAAACAAUUUGGCUCUGGAAAGCAAAGAUGAAGCAGCUCAACCCUCCACUUCCCUGCAGCAACAUGAAUUGAAAUAACUGUGGUGAGGUUUCCCUUCUUAUGAUGGCAGGAUCCUGGCUCUACCACCUGCAUUUUUGUCCCAGAAAGAAACUGGUUGGAACAAACAGGAUGUUUCAUGGGAAAUUGCACCAGCUAAUGUUUGGAGAGUCAGGAAGGCAGGACGGAUUUAGAGGCCCUCGUGGCUCCAAGGGUGUUUGAUUAUCUAGGUCCCUGCCUUUGGGUAACUGGGGCCUCGAAGGGUGGCUUGGGCUUGUAAGUCUCUCUCCUGGUCAGUGGUGAUUACAGACUGUAAAGGACCCAAAGGAAUUCAAAAGCUUGUGCCAUUUCCAGCAGAGAAAAUAGCAACAGUCAUCGCUUCAAAUCAACAUGAAGUGUUAGACACCCAAAAAAUUAGUAUCAGAUAUUUCAGGGCAAGCCUUUUUAAUUGCGAUUGUUCUAUGUGGGAUUUUUUAUUAUUUUUUUUUAAUUCCAGUAAAAGUAUUUGGUAUUUUAAGUCUUUAAUUGUCGUGGCAAAAAAAGCCACUCAAGGGCUUUGAUUUUUGUAUUAUUAUUUUGUUUUGGAAGCACUUGUGUGUGAGUGAUCCCAGUGGGUUCAUAACGGGUACUUUUCCAUCAAGAGCUAUUUUUAGCAAUGAAGUCAUAUCUGUAAUGCAAAAGGAAGAUUAAACUAAACUUUGCAAUAUCCUAAAAGAUUAAACAGUCCUGCAGCCCCAAAAUAAGUGAAGUUGGCCCUGACACUGUAUUCCAGCUCAUCUUAUGAGGCUGAGGGUCAGAGGGAGAGAAUUUGUGAGCUCUGCAACUCAAGAGAAGAUGGCAGAAGUGAAACACACAGGUACAACUUGUUUUUUUCCAGACCAACUUUGGAAGCCAAAGACUCAGUGCUCUAGAAAACCAGCAAAAGCAUGUGGGGGUCACUGCUGCAGCCCUUCUCAGAUGGGUUCUGUUGCAUCCAGGACCGUGCUGGUAGUGCCACAACUUAUGACACCUCAUCCAGAAUACCUCAUGGUAUCACUGGUUGGCCCCAGCAUUACGCCUUUGGUUGUCCCUGGUGCUCCAGGGUUCUGAGGCAUGAAAUUCUCCUUGGAAUGCCCUGAACCUGGAGGGCUGGGCUCAAGACCCGGGAGAGGACUUUGCCCCCUUUGCUGGGCUUGGCCAUCGUGUUUCUUCUUCUGGUCAGGGAAAGGAUGAGCAAGUGGCAGUGAUGGAGGCCUGAUCUUGGGCAGUGGGCACAUCCCCCCCUCCUUCCAGAAGGGGACCUCCUCCUAAACACUGAUCAGCAGAACACCAAGUACAUACAGUCCUGCCUUCACCUCCUGGAGCUGACUCCACAUGGUGGGGCCAAGGUCUGGUGUAGUCUUUCCUCAAGAGUCAAACCCUCUGCUCUUCCUUGAAUUUCUAGUCCCUGGAUGCUGCUCACCUGCCUCCCUGUACCACAGGCAGCUCCUGUCGGGCUGGGCAGGGCAAAUCAGCACAUGAUGCUCUCUGUACCCCAGAAAACCCCAGGUGCUGGAAGCCUGGUAGCUCUGGCUACAGGGCUACCACCUUGCGUUGCCAACACUUCUCUAACCUGACUGUGGUUUCUGUUGGGUUUAUUGUAUUUCUUUCUUGUAAACUUGUUUUCUUGUUA
Molecule: long non-coding RNA, 3865 nt
Organism: Apus apus (common swift)
Lineage: Eukaryota; Metazoa; Chordata; Aves; Apodiformes; Apodidae
Exons: 6
Source: RefSeq, a predicted model, not a curated record